This is a non-coding RNA of Anas platyrhynchos (mallard), 5091 nucleotides long. Lineage: Eukaryota; Metazoa; Chordata; Aves; Anseriformes; Anatidae. The record is from RefSeq and is a predicted model, not a curated record.
GGUGACACCAGUCUGAGUCUCACCAUGAGGAGAGCUGCACGAGCAAGUCCUCCCUGCCAUCCAAGGGGGAUGCACUGCUAACCAGAGAGACAACAGUCAGUCCCUGGGUGUCUGUCAAGGUGGACGGCAUUGCAAGUAACUGUUUGCCAGUAGCCACCCCAAUACUGAACAUGGAUAUCCUUGGAUGUGUAGCUAUAGGUGUCACAGUUAGCCAAGAACAUCAUGCUUACAGAUCUGAGCAACCUGGGCAAAAAUCCUCCUUCACCAGCCAGAAGUCAUGAAACCAAAGGCAGAAAUCAGCAUGAGGAGACCAGGCACCUCAGACUGAUGGCAGCAUUAAUCUUCAGAGCCCAUUAAGGUAAAUAAGGGCUUCUUCUGUUCUGUUCUGGACUUGGAGAGAAAAUUCAGGAACAGUUGGGGCCUUUCUCUGAAAUGACAAGAAGCCAACUAUUCAUCAGAAUAUGAAGUGUUGGAAAGCCAUGGAUGGCAAUAUCCUGCAGCAGCAGGUGCAGGGGCUGGUUAGCCCGAGUGGGGGAAGAUGUAAAAGGUGAGAAAAAUAUCAACUUGUGAGCAGCAGAAUAGCUCCCAGGGCAGGCUGUGGAGAAGGGCGCUCUGAACAGAUUCUCCACUGUCCUCCUGCCACUCCUAUAUCAAUAUUUUUGGAGAGAAACUGCUUCUUGAGAAAACCAAUUAGAGAGAACUGAGUGCAAAAGCAACACUGUUAUGCAGUUACAGGCUGUGUGAUGGCAAACAGAAGACAGGUUUUACUCACUGAUAUUCCUAUUUGGUCCUGUUUUGGCAAACAGCAGAAAAUUGUGGCCUAAGCAGAACAGUAAAGACUGUAUUCUGACUCUGACUUUCUCUCACCAAAGCAGUAAAUAGAAUCUUACAGCAAACAGGCUCCCAGAUGCCCCAGCUUGCGUGGCCUUCUUACUAGCUAAGAAGGGUCUCUGUUCUCUUCCUCAGUGUCACAUAUGGAGUACUCAAUAAGCAAGUUCCUGAUUUCAAAUUUGGUAAUGGUCAGAAGCCCCAAGCAGGAAUCACUGAACUGUAAAAGCAGUCAGUCUACAAUGCACUUAGCGUUUGUCUCCAGUAAUCUUAAAGCAAGGUAAAGUAAGGCGAUAGGUUAGAAGGAGUAUCUCUGAUUAGUUCUGAGCUGCAGCAGGUCUGUAAGCAUGCCCGAUGCCUUCGGACUGGCCAGGCUGAGGGCAGCUGGCACGGUGCCUGCAGCAGCAGCAUUGCAGGGGCACCUCCAGGAGCAGGCACUGGAGGGUAAUGGUGGUAAGUUUGUUUCAAAUUUAGUCUGGUUAUGUCUGCAAGACCUGCAGGUAUGUUUAAUGUUGCCUGAGUGUAAGCCUGGAGCAAGUCCAUGCUGUCUUAGUUAAAUUUGCAAAGUCCGGGCCCAAACAAAAGUCUGUUUUGUUUGUGAUGGGUAAAGGUGCUCUGAGUCCUCUCAGUGUCCGUGGGAUUCACUUGGCUGUAUCAAUGACCCACCAGGCCUGCAAAUGUUUGUACAUUAAAUUGUCUCCUUUUAUCGUUACACCUGUGUGAAAACUGACUGGGGAUCUGCUAACAGACUCUCACUCUGUGGUUCCACAAAGCCCGUGCCAUAAAAGCUGUUGUCCUUUAUUACACUAACCAUCAGCAUCAACAUAUACAAAAGUGCUCAUUUUAAUUUGACUGCUCUUUCCAAAUAGGUGUGCACAGGAAAAGGUCUGAUUCACUGUGUGGGGUCGGCCACAACAUUGGCCUUUUGGGAAACCAUUUGGCUUCUGGACCCUUGUGCAGCUGUUAUCCUGCAAGUGCUGGUCUGGUGGUGUGGGAGCCCCACUGCCCCCUUCGUGCAGUCACAGUGCUGUGUAGUGGAAUUUGCUCUGGGCUUUGUAAAACCCUCCUGUGGGUUAUGCGGGUCUUACCUCCUUCCUCUCUCCUCUUGUUUCAAAGCCAGGAGAAUGUUCAUGAGGUUUUCCAGCCCCAAGGUUAUCGAGUUUUCCAGUCCCAUCAGAAUGACAGGGAAACACACUGGCACAGUGUGUUCAGUCCCAAACACAUGCUGCACUCUGGGAUGUAGAGGAGAGCUGCUUGGGUGCAAGGAGUAAGGAUAGAUCCCUUGCUUCUGCUUUUCUCUCACACCCACACAGCCGCUCAUGUACAUAAGGACGAAGCUCUGAUCCCAUGCCUGUGGCUACCCGGCUUCCUCUCGAAUCACACCACCCACAAUAUAAGCAGGCUUUAAAACUUGGCAUUGAGAAAAACAGAAGUAGAUUUUCCUGCUGGUAAAUUAAUCUGCCAAGGCAGACCCAUCCCUUAUAACAUGAAACUUUAACAAGCUCUUGCAUUGAGAUGCCCUAAUUUGAACAAGGAAAAGUUUGCAGAGAACUGAAACCUGACUUUUCGCUUGGAGAUAAGGCUAUAUACAUCUCUGCCUACAAGCCCACGGGUAUUUAAAAAAACCCACAAAACAAAACAGAAUGUCUUUACAUAUUUAAAUGAAUUAAAAUGAAUCUGCUCUAGAUGAAACAUUCAAUUCUAUUCCUUAACUGAGUUUCUGAGGAGUGAGUUCCACUACAAAAGAAACUUAUUAAAGAAUUAUGAAGACUGUCAAAAACCAUAUGCUUAAAAGCUAGUAAAUAACAAAGUAAGGCUUUUAGUCAUCUUGACUGGACAAGGUGAGGUCAGAAAGAAACAACAACACAUCCGGCACCAUGGCAAUGGGCUUUUCAUGCUUCUUGUCUUUAGCAACUGCUUUUUUAGAGAAGUCUUGCUUUUCCUUGGUCAUACAUUCUCUUCUGUUAAUCAUUGUCUUUACUCUGACCUUCUGAUGUAGAAAUUGUCUUUCAUGCAAUAUUUUACUUGACGUGGUAUGUCUCUUUUUUCUUUGUUUUGCUUUUUUUAACUGAAGCUAUAGUUCCCUCAUUUGGAAGUACAGACAACAGAAUGAAAGAAUAACAUAUUUUAAGCCGCUAGUGAAAUAUUUUCUCAAACAAUGCUAUUUUGGAUAGGUCCUGGGGCUGUCGUUAUUUUCUUGACAUCCAUUUAUACUGAAUCAGUUAAUAAGUCAGAUCCAAUGUCAUGUAAAACAUUUUUCCAUGUUUAUUUUCUUUGCAUUAAUGGCUAUAUUGUAAUUGUACACAAUGCCCUGAGCAAAAUUUAAUUCACUGGCACUGAUUUACAUCUGUAGAACAUGUUCUGAUGGGGAUAGCUGUUGAAAAAUAUUAUGUUUAAAACAUGCACAGCUGUAAAGAACUGAUUGGUUGACAUUUAUUUUUUUCUGUGUGGGAAUGAAUCAUUUGUUAAUUAUUUUAGUUGUUGUUUUUCAUUCCUUAGCAUAUUCUCUUUUCUUCUUUAUAAGUAGGUAAAUGAUCAAUGAUGAUCAGGUGCUGUUCCAUCUUAAAUGCUGUUUGACAGCCUUAGGGUUAACAGAAAUCUCAUUGCAAAAUGUUCAUAAACUUACGGUGACAAGAGCAGAGACUUGCAGUACAGUGCUCAUUCGUGUAACAAUGCAUCUGAAAUUGAACUUAGAAAACAAUGGUAUCUCAACAAUCAGCACUGCAUAUGUUACACAUUUUUUAAGUAAAGCAAAUGGUUUUCCAGAGUGAUCUUGAUGUGUAAACAAGGUAAUUCAUGAAGACAUUAGUGCAAUUUUAUAGAACACGAAUCUCCCCCUCCAAAAUCUAGGCAAGGAAAAUCAAAGUAUGUUUUGUUAUUUUUAAUGGCAAUGGCAUUAAAAAACAAAAAGGCUUAAGUUACUGAAGAGGGCUUUGAUGGCCAGAAUACACUGGAGGGAUGAUAAGGAAAUGCUUUUAAUAAAAUGUAAUGCUUAUUCCUGUCCCUGGGACUAACAUGGUGGUGUAGUUCUGCAGCUUGUAACAUCCAUUUCUGCCUCUCUCUUCUUCCAACUCUUUUACAGCAGCCAAGUAAAUAAUAAAAUAUUCUUAUCCUCACCUUAAUAUAAAAACUCUAAACAUGUAAACAAUAUAUCAUUCAUAAUAAGAAGGCGCUCUAAAACUCAAAAGUUUUGUCUGAGUAUAACUCUGACACAGCUGAAGAAGAUUUUUGACAUAAAUCUCAUGCAUGAGAAAAAAAGAAGAAGAAAAAUAAAGAAAAAAAAUGUUUAACAUAGGCCAUCUGCAAUUUCUGUGCCAGUAGUGAGUUACAUAAUUGUUUUGAAAAUAUACACCAUUCAUUUUAUGUGAAGAUUUAUAUAACCCAAAAGAGACAUCACAUAAAUCAUUUGUACAAAAGGGACCAAUCCAAUUGUGGCCCCGCUGAGUGUGUGAGGUAGUCAUUUCCAAAAUAUGAAGUAUAUUAUAAAAUAACCAAGUUAAUUUCUUAGAUGUUAUAUUAAACUGAUGUACAGUUGCAUACUUAGAGUGACAGAAGUGUUUAACUUUGCUUUCCAAUUGUCUUACCCUAACAGCCUGUGAGGCCUCCUGCCAUAAGAAAUAAAAUAAAUUUUUAAAAAAGUUUAGAAAAAGGGGGAAAAAAGGAAAAAAAUAAGCAGGGAGGAACAGAAGAUUGGAGAAGACGGGAACAAGACAGUAAGGUAGAAAGGAAGCAAAGAAAGAAUGGAGGCAAAGAAUAUGGGCAAAACGUGUGACUAGUAACUCAUACCAUAAUUUUCAAACAAGGAUUCCUAAAUUUUAUUGUGCAUAAUUAUCUCUUCUUGCAAAUUUAAACCUCAAAACUAAUUGUUAGGCAUCACAGGUAGCAUUUACAAAGCAUGUGCAAUGAUCUGUAACAUCUACUUAGUCUGUGGCAUUGAAAAGUCAAACUGUGAGUGUGAAGUAGGACACUUACUUAAUGUCUGCAGUUUAAUCUCCCUUUGUUCAUAGUCUAGUGGUAGCUACCUCUCCUGCUAUAAUUUUAUUUUUCUCAAAUUUUUGCAUGGAAAAGCUGACAGAAAUUUAUUCACAUUUUGUAUGUUUUCCCUAAGAUAAUUACUAUUUCUAGUAGAACUUGUGCACUUUAGCACUGGACAUAAUCAAGAUUAAAAAAAUAAAAUAAAAUAAAACAAAAUAAAAAAUUUAAUGCUGGUUUUGAGAUUUUUAUUUAUUUAUUUAUUUAUUGCAUUUCAAAUCAGAAGAAUAA